Molecule: non-coding RNA, 73 nt
Organism: Tritrichomonas musculus
Lineage: Eukaryota; Parabasalia; Tritrichomonadida; Tritrichomonadidae
Source: the annotation of a GenBank genome assembly
UGCGAUGUAGAACAAGAGGUGGUUCAUGAGGCUCAUAACCUCAAGGGUGAUGGUUCGAGUCCAUCCAUCGCAC